GACAGAGUCCGACUCUUCCUUGACCGAUCUGCAGACAAACAGAAGUCUUGGUUUGGAGAAUCGGGAUCGAAAAGGCGUUACAUUGGAGUGAUGAUGUUGACUUUGACCCCCAGUAUAAUCGAAGAGCUAAGGAUGCGAGACCCGUCCUUCCCUGAGUUCUCAUCCACCGUGUGAUUGUAGGAUCUCCAGCCAACAGAGCCGGAAUGAAGCCAGGAGAUGUUAUUAUUGAGAUCAAUGGGGUAAAGGUGAACACGUCGGAGGAGAUAUAUAAUGCUGUGAGGACCAGCGAAAGCUUAAAUGUGUUGGUCCGCCGGGGGGCCGACCUGCUCAUGCUGCACAUGACCCCAGAGUCCACAGAGCGACAUCAAGUCAAGUAUUUAGUAAGAUUAAGAAAUGGUGAGUAAUGAGAAGCUGUCAUAGUUGGAGAUGUUGUAAGAAAGGAAUCAUCUAAAGAGUUGAACAGUUUUAGCAAACGCUGGACAUUCGUGUAGUAAACGUGUUUCUGGAAGCGUAUGAAAUAAUGUGGAUGAUUCAGACUUCUGUACACUGGAUAAACCUCAGUGUGUCUGCGCAAACUACACUAUCAGUAUUGAUUUGAAGGAAUAUCACUGAAUAUUUUGUUUAGGAUUGUCAUGAUGGCAACAAACACUCAAAGACCUUAAUAAAACUGGGUGCUCUUAUUGUGAAAAUGCUGAUGUUUUGUAUUGAGUCUCACAUUCUCAUGUUACGAUGUUUGUAUUUUAAUACAUUUUUCUGAACAGCUCUGAUUUCACAAUAAACCAUUGGAAUAUUUAUGGAUGA
Molecule: non-coding RNA, 801 nt
Organism: Danio rerio (zebrafish)
Lineage: Eukaryota; Metazoa; Chordata; Actinopteri; Cypriniformes; Danionidae
Source: RefSeq, a predicted model, not a curated record